CAGCAGCCGCGGUAAUACAGAGGGUGCAAGCGUUAAUCGGAAUUACUGGGCGUAAAGCGCGCGUAGGUGGUUUGUUAAGUUGGAUGUGAAAGCCCCGGGCUCAACCUGGGAACUGCAUCCAAAACUGGCAAGCUAGAGUACGGUAGAGGGUGGUGGAAUUUCCUGUGUAGCGGUGAAAUGCGUAGAUAUAGGAAGGAACACCAGUGGCGAAGGCGACCACCUGGACUGAUACUGACACUGAGGUGCGAAAGCGUGGGGAGCAAACAGGAUUAGAUACCCCAGUAGUCCCUGUCUCUUAUAA
Molecule: ribosomal RNA, 301 nt
Filed under: uncultured bacterium
Lineage: Bacteria
Description: partial 16S ribosomal RNA
Rfam family: Bacterial small subunit ribosomal RNA
Source: RNAcentral